This 235-nucleotide long non-coding RNA is filed under the name Elaeis guineensis (African oil palm). Its description in RNAcentral is "long non-coding RNA (EGUI_LNC011077)". The record is from RNAcentral. Lineage: Eukaryota; Viridiplantae; Streptophyta; Magnoliopsida; Arecales; Arecaceae.
GGUUUGGGCUAGGUUUUGGGCUAUGACAGUACUCAUGUAGGAUGUGCGCCUUUUGGAAGGGAGGGUAAAAUAUCUCUCUUUAUUUCCUCUUAUUUUGUGAUGCAAGAUGGAUUCCGGUUCCGUUCCACUAAUUUCUGAUUGGCAGUCAGGUUGGACAUAAUGAGUAAGCAAAUAUAUAUAAUUUCUGGGGACAAAUCUGAAUUUUAUUACUGAAGCAUUCUUCUUAUUACCCAAA